AUACGUAGGGGUCAAGCGUUGUCCGGAUUCAUUGGGCGUAAAGAGCUCGUAGGCGGCUCAGUAAGUCGGUCGUGAAAACCCGGGGCUCAACCCCGGGACGCCGAUCGAUACUGCUGUGGCUAGGGUUCGGUAGAGGAGAGUGGAAUUCCCGGUGUAGCGGUGAAAUGCGCAGAUAUCUGGAGGAACACCAGUAGCGAAGGCGGCUCUCUGGGCCGACACCGACGCUGAGGAGCGAAAGCUAGGGGAGCAAACAGGAUUAGAUACCCUGGUAGUCCUAGCCGUAAACGUUGGGCACUAGGUGUGGCGGACUCAUUGACGUCUGCCGUGCCGCAGCUAACGCAUUAAGUGCCCCGCCUGGGGAGUACGGUCGCAAGACUAAA
This 380-nucleotide ribosomal RNA is filed under the name uncultured bacterium. RNAcentral's name for it is "bacterial SSU rRNA". It matches the Rfam family "Bacterial small subunit ribosomal RNA", at positions 523 to 898 of the family's 1533-position model. The record is from RNAcentral.